CGCGGUAAUACGGAGGGGGCAAGCGUUGUUUGGAAUUAUUGGGCGUAAAGGGCAUGUAGGCGGUUUGGUAAGUUAAAGGUGAAAUACCAGGGCUUAACCCUGGCGCUGCUUUUAAUACUGCAGGACUAGAGUCCGGAAGAGGAUAGCGGAAUUCCUAGUGUAGAGGUGAAAUUCGUAGAUAUUAGGAGGAACACCAGUGGCGAAGGCGGCUGUCUGGUCCGGUACUGACGCUGAGGCUGCGAAAGCGUGGGGAGCAAACAGGAUUAGAUACCCUGGUA
Molecule: ribosomal RNA, 278 nt
Filed under: uncultured Anaplasma sp.
Lineage: Bacteria; Pseudomonadati; Pseudomonadota; Alphaproteobacteria; Rickettsiales; Anaplasmataceae
Description: partial 16S ribosomal RNA
Rfam family: Bacterial small subunit ribosomal RNA
Source: RNAcentral